RNAcentral lists this ribosomal RNA (292 nucleotides) under uncultured bacterium. RNAcentral describes it as "partial 16S ribosomal RNA". It matches the Rfam family "Bacterial small subunit ribosomal RNA", at positions 335 to 626 of the family's 1533-position model. The record is from RNAcentral.
GGCCUACGGGACGCAGCAGUGAGGAAUAUUGGUCAGUGGCCGAGAGGCUGAACCAGCCAAGUCGCGUGAGGGAUGACGGCCCUACGGGUUGUAAACCUCUUUUGUCGGGGAGCAAGACCCGCCACGAGUGGCGGAGCGAGAGUACCCGAAGAAAAAGCAUCGGCUAACUCCGUGCCAGCAGCCGCGGUAAUACGGAGGAUGCGAGCGUUAUCCGGAUUUAUUGGGUUUAAAGGGUGCGCAGGCGGCACGGCAAGCCGGCGGUCAAAUCGCGGGGCUCAACCCCGCCCAGCCG